GAUCAGGGGCUGCUCUGUGCUGCCCCAGCAGAAACCUCAAGAACACUCAACCCACUGGUGAUAAGAGGGCCCCUGUUACCUGAGCCAGCCAGCUGCUGCCAUGGCUGUGCUUUACUUUCCAGCCAGGGGAACUGCAGGAGUCAUUCUCCCUUGAAGCCCGUGCAGGGAAUCAGGUGCUCCCUCCACCUGCAGGGCGGCCACGGCCAUGCCUGUGACUCUACCGACAGCUGAGGGGACUCAGCCAGUGCAGGGCUCAGCUGUGUCUUAAAAGGGAUGGAGGGAAAAGCAGGAUUUCCUUGGAGACCUUCAAACACAGUUUGACUUCUCAGUUUGUGGUCCCAAAUGAGAUGGGAACCACCAGAAUCAACCAUGUGAUGCUGAAGCAGAGCAACUGGUAGUCUGAACUCCUGGGCUGCAGCCAUUCAAACCAGCAGGGAACAGGCAAAAUUAAACCAAACAAUAAUA
Molecule: non-coding RNA, 465 nt
Organism: Taeniopygia guttata (zebra finch)
Lineage: Eukaryota; Metazoa; Chordata; Aves; Passeriformes; Estrildidae
Source: RefSeq, a predicted model, not a curated record